RNAcentral lists this long non-coding RNA (1049 nucleotides) under Ananas comosus (pineapple). RNAcentral describes it as "long non-coding RNA (ACOM_LNC034773)". The record is from RNAcentral. Lineage: Eukaryota; Viridiplantae; Streptophyta; Magnoliopsida; Poales; Bromeliaceae.
UGUUAGUUUGGAUCUUUUUCUUUGGGUUCUCAGUAAUUUUAGAGAUAUUGAGAGAGAGAAAAAAAAUUAGGUUACUAUACUAUUAAUAGUACCAAGCAACUAUUAGGUUUUCGACCCUUAGAUGACAGUUAGGAUAAUAGUUGUCCUCUAGGAUUAAAUAGGUGGUUGGUUAAAUAGUAUGAUCUAACGGAUGAAAUUAGUUAAAGAGAUAGCUCUAACAACGAAAAAUUCGAUAGUACUAAGUGUUUGUUACUAUCAAUAGCAUAGUAGCCAAACUAUAUAUAUAUAUAUAUAUAUAUAUUUAUUUAUUUAUUUAUUUAUUUAUUUAUUUAUUUAUUUAUUUGAGUUAGAAUACUUUUAAAAGCACGAGUGCUUCUAAGUUUUUAGCCCUUAAAUCUACUCCUUGAUUACUAAUACCCCUUGGAUCAAACACUAUUUCACCUACCACCACCUACCACCAUCAUCUCAACCCUACAUCUCUCCAUCUAAUGGUUAAAAACUCAAAAACAUCACCCCCUUUGUGCUUUUGAAAAUAUUCCAGCUCAACUAUAUAUAUAUAUAUAUAUAUGCAAAAUGAGUCUGAUCAAAUAUGAUAUUUGUAUAUACACUAGUGUACUGUUAUAGAACUUGCUCUCUCUCUAGUACAGGACAAUAGGGAACAAUUUCUUCCAGGACUUUCUAAAUUUGUUGCUGUUAAAACUCGCCAAUCGCGAAAUCUUUUUGAUCUCAGCUCUCUCUUCAGCUGGGUCCCCCUUCUUGUGGAUUUCCGGCGUCGAUUCGUCCCAAAAGUGAGCUCCCCUUCGCUUCUUCCUGAUGGUGGCAAGCACAUCAUCUCUGUUGCAAAUUCCCCACACCGUGACCUUCUGAAGGCGGUAAUCGACAUCCACGGAAUGUAUCCCUGCACGAUUAUAUAUCACAACACUCAUCAUGAUCGCCCAAAUUGAUUCCCUCUACGUUAAAAUAUCGUUCAAAAUGAUAGUAAAGUGCUCAAAUUCGAAUCAUAGAAUGUUAAAAUGCGAACUAUACUACGCCGCAAUAAAAGGGUUAAA